RNAcentral lists this ribosomal RNA (547 nucleotides) under uncultured Glomeromycotina. RNAcentral's name for it is "SSU rRNA". It matches the Rfam family "Eukaryotic small subunit ribosomal RNA", at positions 548 to 1098 of the family's 1831-position model. Lineage: Eukaryota; Fungi; Glomeromycota. The record is from RNAcentral.
UUGGAGGGCAAGUCUGGUGCCAGCAGCCGCGGUAAUUCCAGCUCCAAUAGCGUAUAUUAAAGUUGUUGCAGUUAAAAAGCUCGUAGUUGAAUUUCGGGGUUCUACCGUCGGUCGGGCUACCAAGUCUGUACUGGUGUGUAGAACUUCUACCUUCUGGGGAACCAUCAUGUUAUUAAUUUAGCGUGGUGGGAAACCAGGACCUUUACCUUGAAAAAAUUAGAGUGUUCAAAGCAGGCUUAUGUCUGAAUACAUUAGCAUGGAAUAAUAGAAUAGGACGGUGGUCCUGUUUUGUUGGUUUCUGAAUCACCGUAAUGAUUAAUAGGGAUAGUUGGGGGCAUUAGUAUUCAAUUGUCAGAGGUGAAAUUCUUGGAUUUAUUGAAGACUAACUUCUGCGAGAGCAUUUGCCAAGGAUGUUUUCAUUAAUCAAGAACGAAAGUUAGGGGAUCGAAGACGAUCAGAUACCGUCGUAGUCUUAACCAUAAACUAUGCCGACUAGGGAUCGGACGAUGUUAAAUUUUAUUGACUCGUUCGGCGCCUUACGGGAAAC